GACGAACGCUGGCGGCGUGCUUAACACAUGCAAGUCGAACGAACAGGCCCUGCUCUUGUGGGGUCCUCGAGUGGCGAACGGGUGAGUAACACGUGAAUAACCUGCCCUUGACUUUGGGAUAACUUCAGGAAAAUGGGGCUAAUACCGGAUAGGAGCUCCUGCUGCAUGGUGGGGGUUGGAAAGUUUCGGCGGUUGGGGCUGGAAUCGCGGCUUAUCCGCUUGUUGGUGGGGUAGUGGCUUACCAAGGCUUUGACGGGUAGCCGGCCUGAGAGGGUGACCGGCGACAUGGGGACUGAGAUACGGCCCAGACUCCUACGGGAGGCAGCAGUGGGGAAUAUUGCACAAUGGGCGGAAGCCUGAUGCAGCAACGCCGCGUGCGGGAUGACGGCCUUCGGGUUGUAAACCGCUUUCGCCUGUGACGAAGCGUGAGUGACGGUAAUGGGUAAAGAAGCACCGGCUAACUACGUG
This 468-nucleotide ribosomal RNA is filed under the name uncultured bacterium. RNAcentral's name for it is "partial 16S ribosomal RNA". It matches the Rfam family "Bacterial small subunit ribosomal RNA", at positions 28 to 507 of the family's 1533-position model. The record is from RNAcentral.